GACGAACGCUGGCGGCGUGCUUAACACAUGCAAGUCGAACGGUGAAGCGCCUUCCUUUUUGGUGGGUGUGGAUGAGUGGCGAACGGGUGAGUAACACGUGAGUAACCUGCCCCCUUCUUCUGGAUAACCGCAUGAAAGUGUGGCUAAUACGGGAUAUUCUGGGUCUGUCGCAUGAUGGGUCUGGGAAAGAUAUUGUUUCGGUGGGGGAUGGGCUCGCGGCCUAUCAGCUUGUUGGUGGGGUGAUGGCCUACCAAGGCGGUGACGGGUAGCCGGCCUGGGAGGGUGGACGGUCACACUGGGACUGAGACACGGCCAAGACUCCGACGGGAGGCAGCAGGGGGGAAUAUUGCACAAUGGGCGCAAGGCUGAUGCAGCGACGCCGCGGGAGGGAUGGAGGCCUUCGGGUUGUGAACCUCUUUCGCCAGUGAAGCAGGCCUGCCUCGUUUGUGGGUGGGUUGACGGUAGCUGGAGAAGAAGCGCCGGCUAACUACGUG
This 494-nucleotide ribosomal RNA is filed under the name uncultured bacterium. RNAcentral describes it as "partial 16S ribosomal RNA". It matches the Rfam family "Bacterial small subunit ribosomal RNA", at positions 28 to 507 of the family's 1533-position model. The record is from RNAcentral.